GGCUCAGAUUGAACGCUGGCGGAAUGCUUUACACAUGCAAGUCGAACGGCAGCACGAGAGCUUGCUCUUAGGUGGCGAGUGGCGAACGGGUGAGUAAUAUAUCGGAACGUAUCCAAUAAUGGGGGGAUAACUAAUCGAAAGGUUAGCUAAUACCGCAUACGCCCUACGGGGGAAAGCAGGGGAUCUUCGGACCUUGCGUUAAUGGAGCGGCUGAUAUCUGAUUAGCUAGUAGGUGAGGUAAAGGCUCACCUAGGCUUCGAUCAGUAGCUGGUCUGAGAGGACGACCAGCCACACUGGAACUGAGACACGGUCCAGACUCCUACGGGAGGCAGCAGUGGGGAAUUUUGGACAAUGGGCGCAAGCCUGAUCCAGCCAUUCCGCGUGAGUGAAGAAGGCCUUCGGGUUGUAAAGCUCUUUCGCAAGGGAAGAAACGAUGCCGACGAAUAAUCGGUGUUAAUGACGGUACCUUGAUAAGAAGCACCGGCUAACUACGUG
This 495-nucleotide ribosomal RNA is filed under the name uncultured bacterium. Its description in RNAcentral is "bacterial SSU rRNA". It matches the Rfam family "Bacterial small subunit ribosomal RNA", at positions 21 to 507 of the family's 1533-position model. The record is from RNAcentral.